CUUCCCUCCUACUCCGUGGUCACGUCUUGCUGCCCUCCCCUGCCGUGUUCUCACGCACUCGCUCUGUCCCUCCAGAACCACAAUAUUCCACCCCUGGUCCCGCCAGGAUUAUAACCGUCUUCGUAAAGGAGAGAUGGAAGGGCAAGGAGGAUGUCAAUCGGGCUUUUAGCGUUUAUCGUUUGCGGGGCUUUUGCUGGAGUU
This 201-nucleotide long non-coding RNA is filed under the name Homo sapiens (human). Its description in RNAcentral is "long non-coding RNA NONHSAT169050". Lineage: Eukaryota; Metazoa; Chordata; Mammalia; Primates; Hominidae. The record is from RNAcentral.